GUUAGCCUACGGGGCGCAGCAGUGAGGAAUAUUGGUCAAUGGGCGCGAGCCUGAACCAGCCACGUCGCGUGAGGGAAGACGGUCCUAUGCAUUGUAAACCUCUUUUGUCGGGGAGCAAAAGACGCCACGCGUGGCGUUCCGAGAGUACCCGAAGAAAAAGCAUCGGCUAACUCCGUGCCAGCAGCCGCGGUAAUACGGAGGAUGCGAGCGUUAUCCGGAUUUAUUGGGUGUAAAGGGAGCGUAGA
RNAcentral lists this ribosomal RNA (245 nucleotides) under uncultured bacterium. RNAcentral's name for it is "partial 16S ribosomal RNA". It matches the Rfam family "Bacterial small subunit ribosomal RNA", at positions 332 to 575 of the family's 1533-position model. The record is from RNAcentral.